Molecule: ribosomal RNA, 323 nt
Filed under: uncultured eukaryote
Lineage: Eukaryota
Description: partial 18S ribosomal RNA
Rfam family: Eukaryotic small subunit ribosomal RNA
Source: RNAcentral
CCCUUAGAUGUUCUGGGCUGCACGCGUGCUACACUGAUAUUGCCAAUAUGUCAUUCUUAUCCGAAAUGGAUUGGGUAAUCAAGUAAUGAAAUUUCAUGCUUGGAAUCGGUAAUUGCAAUUUUAUCGUGAACGAGGAAUUCCUAGUAAGCACUAGUCAUCAGCUAAUGUUGAUUAUGUCCCUGCCCUUUGCACACACCGCCCGUCGCUACUACUGAUUGGGUGUUCAAGUGAGAUGCUUAGACCCUUGUUGCAUGGUUCAUUAUUGUGCUCCGAAAGGAAAAAGUUUCAAGCUUGAGUGUCUAGAGGAAGUAAAAGUCGUAACA